This 496-nucleotide ribosomal RNA is filed under the name uncultured bacterium. Its description in RNAcentral is "partial 16S ribosomal RNA". It matches the Rfam family "Bacterial small subunit ribosomal RNA", at positions 28 to 507 of the family's 1533-position model. The record is from RNAcentral.
GAUGAACGCUGGCGGCGUGCCUAAUACAUGCAAGUCGAGCGAACGGACGAGAAGCUUGCUUCUCUGAUGUUAGCGGCGGACGGGUGAGUAACACGUGGAUAACCUACCUAUAAGACUGGGAUAACUUCGGGAAACCGGAGCUAAUACCGGAUAAUAUUUUGAACCGCAUGGUUCAAAAGUGAAAGACGGUCUUGCUGUCACUUAUAGAUGGAUCCGCGCUGCAUUAGCUAGUUGGUAAGGUAACGGCUUACCAAGGCAACGAUGCAUAGCCGACCUGAGAGGGUGAUCGGCCACACUGGAACUGAGACACGGUCCAGACUCCUACGGGAGGCAGCAGUAGGGAAUCUUCCGCAAUGGGCGAAAGCCUGACGGAGCAACGCCGCGUGAGUGAUGAAGGUCUUCGGAUCGUAAAACUCUGUUAUUAGGGAAGAACAUAUGUGUAAGUAACUGUGCACAUCUUACGGUACCUAAUCAGAAAGCCACGGCUAACUACGUG